GACGAACCACACAAACGUUAUUCGGAAUCACUGGGCUUAAAGGGUGCGUAGGCUGUGCAGAAAGUUGGGUGUGAAAUACCUCGGCUCAACCGAGGAACUGCGCCCAAAACUACUGUGCUCGAGGAAGACAGAGGUAAGCGGAACUGAGGGUGGAGCGGUGAAAUGCGUUGAUAUCCUCAGGAACACCCGUGGCGAAAGCGGCUUACUGGGUCUUUUCUGACGCUGAUGCACGAAAGCUAGGGGAGCAAACGGG
RNAcentral lists this ribosomal RNA (253 nucleotides) under uncultured bacterium. RNAcentral describes it as "partial 16S ribosomal RNA". It matches the Rfam family "Bacterial small subunit ribosomal RNA", at positions 524 to 776 of the family's 1533-position model. The record is from RNAcentral.